This 380-nucleotide ribosomal RNA is filed under the name uncultured bacterium. RNAcentral's name for it is "bacterial SSU rRNA". It matches the Rfam family "Bacterial small subunit ribosomal RNA", at positions 29 to 410 of the family's 1533-position model. The record is from RNAcentral.
AUUGAACGCUGGCGGCAUGCCUUACACAUGCAGGUCGAACGGCAGCACGGGAGCAAUCCUGGUGGCGAGUGGCGAACGGGUGAGUAAUAUAUCGGAACGUGCCCGGUCGUGGGGGAUAACGUAGCGAAAGCUACGCUAAUACCGCAUACGAUCUACGGAUGAAAGCGGGGGAUCGCAAGACCUCGCGCGAUUGGAGCGGCCGAUAUCAGAUUAGGUAGUUGGUGAGGUAAAGGCUCACCAAGCCGACGAUCUGUAGCUGGUCUGAGAGGACGACCAGCCACACUGGGACUGAGACACGGCCCAGACUCCUACGGGAGGCAGCAGUGGGGAAUUUUGGACAAUGGGCGCAAGCCUGAUCCAGCAAUGCCGCGUGCAGGAUG